Long non-coding RNA from Acanthopagrus latus (yellowfin seabream), 2737 nucleotides. RefSeq lists it as uncharacterized. NCBI's taxonomy places the organism in Eukaryota, Metazoa, Chordata, Actinopteri, Spariformes, Sparidae. The transcript has 3 exons. The record is from RefSeq and is a predicted model, not a curated record.
UUCUUACUGCUACACAGUUAAUGUAGCUUCACACAUCACAGAGUGGAGUUCAUCUGUGGAGAUUAUCUGGAUCAACAGAACCUGGACGGAUCAGAAAGUUGUUAUUUUCUGUAAUAAUCCAGAACACAACAGACCUUCAGCUCUCUGACAGGGCAGCUGAUGGAAGGUUUAUUCACCUGUCACACACCUGUCCUGCAGCACACUGAGGUCAAGAGAGAUUAUAUAAAAGCGUGAAUUAAGGGAAGACAGAACAGGUAAAACAACACCUGAACUGUGAUGCUGGCUGUGUGUGACUCCAGGCGUCCACCUGAAUACUGAUGACUUGUUUCCAGCAGAGGUGUGUUGAUGAGGAUCUCUCAGCUCCGGCACAAAGCUUGAUGCAUCAGCAAUAUUAACUUUUCUGCUGGCAAGACGCUGGGUUGCAUUUUUCCCCAGAUUAUCUUUACAGAGGCGAGUAAAGCAUCAAGAAUCCUGUCGGUGUUCAGGUCUGUGGACUUAUCAAGGUUCAGUGAAACAGUCCGGCACGGCGGCACUGAGAGCUGCAGUCUAAUACUCAGCGACGGUGUUCGGUGUGGCUGAAGGAUCUUUCUGUUCUGUUGGAGCGCUGAGUUUGCUGAACAACCAGUUCUGAAACACGGAGCAGCUGCAGGGUGUAAUGUUCUCAGUUAACAUGUCUGACAACCACAGAAACUUCAGAGGUGGACAUCUGUACCAAACCUGUGAUGUCACGUCAGCAUUAUCUGUUCAGCAGCCGCUCAGAUAGCACACGGGUCUCUCAGGCCCGACCGACAGGAGUUACGUUAGGAAGACGUCGUCUGGGGAAGGUUUGCUAAUUGGGAAGACGCUGUUGUCAGACGUACGUGGUCCAUUGGGCCACAGAAGCAGAAGCAGAAGGUGGUGCUGCUGUCAGCGGGUCGAGUCGCACCACUACAUAUUUCUAAAGGCACUUGGAGACAUUUCCAUCCGUGUUGUAUGGCGUGAAAAUAUAGUAUUUUCUCUUAGACGUGGGGACAUUUUCAGCGAUGCUUCUCACCCUCGACUGUGACCUCGUGGUUCCUGCAGCUAAACGUAACCAGAGCACCAUCACAGGACUGUGACAAGAAACUGAAGAUCCAACCACAACACACAUGAAGAAAGAUGUGAAUACAGUCUGAUGCACAGACGACUGUACACACGGCAGUAAUAUUCCCUCUGCUGACUGGAGUUCGAGGUGAGCCGGUUAUCAGUCAGUUGUCUCUCCCAGAAGUGACAAAGCACUCCUGCCUCCACGCGUCACUCCUCUUCUCUCUCAAAAAUAGAAGUGAAAGAAACUGAAACACAACAAAUAAGUUUCCAGAGAGCGAGAGAGAGAGAGACCUGCCGAGUCGACGGGAUUGUGUCUCGCUGAGCCGUCUUAUCAAAGUGAUGGCUGCCAUUUCUUCCAGCUGACACCUGUGUCUCAUCUCCAUCUCACACUGUGUGCUGUGUGUGGAUGCAUGUGUGAUGUUGGCGGCGAGGGGGAGAAUGACAGUCUGUACCUGACAGUGAUGAUUACAGGUUGGCAGGAAGUUAAAGUCAGGAAAACAGAAAGGCAGAGCGUGAAAGGCACAAAAGGACUGAUAAGUGAGGAGGGACGCAGCUCGACGAGACAGUAAAGUACAGAGUGGUGAGUGAUGUGACCACAAGUGUUAAUCAGAACCAGUAUCAGUUAGGAGUACAUGAAAUGUCAGCUGUCAGAAACACAGAAUCACUGUUUCCUUUCAUUCGGGAGGUGAUAAAGUCGGGGAAACAAACCAGCAGGAGAUGGAGUGCUGCUCCUGAUAACAGUCAUCUCCUGUUCCCGGCUGCUUUCUCCGCUGAAUAAGAAACAUCAGACAAAAGGAACUGCAUUUAUUUCUCUCCCACUCGAACAAUCCCCGAGUCAUUUGCAUCGUGCGGUGGAAAAUAAAGAAGUGUCAGUGAGAGCGAGUAAUGUCAGGGUGUUUUGAUCAGGCGGCGUGAAAGAGCAACUCUGUGGAUGUUUAAGAGCGGGAAGACGGCGGCUCUCCCACCGCGAUCAUCUAAAGGUUACGAGUGUGUGCUGGGAUUUUAAUUUACCGUGAUGAGAGACAGAAGUUCAAUCUCGAAAAUAUUCUUGUUGUAGUCUUUGUCUGUUUCUGCCUCCAGACAGCAUCACUGCUCUGUAUUUUGAUUGGCUGACAGCGUGAAACGGCUCGUCAUGGUCACAAACUGUCUGAUCCCUGCAACAGCCUGUCAGAAUCACUGUUUCAGUGUUUUAUAACAUAUUUCUGCCCAAUACGUGCAAAAAACAUGCUGUUCUGUAGGUAUUCUAGAGAUAUUGAGGUAUUUAAUUUCCUGGACAAUCAUUGAAAAUGCUGAUGACUCAUCCUGCACUCGGGGGAGGGUGUAAACACUUUCCUUACUUAUUAAAAAACACUGCAUGUGUUUGUGUGUUGCUUGUGUGAGAUGAAUGCACAGAUUAAUGCACAAAAACACAACUUUGUACUUUAUUCAGGUCCAGCUGAGGCUUCAGACUGGAGCGGACGCUGCAGACGAGGACAGUUUCAGCACCGAGGUGACGUCACGCUAUCACACACGUCUGCACGCCUCACCAGUACCCGGUCCAAGUUCAUCUGGUUCUGCUCGACCCGAAACUCUGCACCGUCUCUGCCGCCUCACACCCAAGAGACGCUCAAACCAUCCUCGGCCCGACUCCCACACUGAAAUAUGUAAUAUAGUUCACUAAAUUAAAUUAAAU